Molecule: long non-coding RNA, 642 nt
Filed under: Homo sapiens (human)
Lineage: Eukaryota; Metazoa; Chordata; Mammalia; Primates; Hominidae
Description: long non-coding RNA NONHSAT148659
Source: RNAcentral
GAGUUUCCGCAGAUGAGCCGCGGGAAAGGAGACGAGGGGCGGUGGCCAGGCGGUUGCCCUGACAACGGGGAACCGACCGACUCUUCCCGGUAGGGAGAGGCGAUGGCGGAAUUACUCCUCUAAUGUCAAGGUAUUCUAAUCACAGAAUUACUGGAGCAUCAAGAAGUGCCUGCAUGCUUGGAAGGGCUUCCAGGCAGAUGAACACACCUCAGCACCGGGUGGCAUUUUCCCAGGGUGCAACCCGGACCGGCUCUGGGUCACACUGACAAGGACAACAGGGUUAACAAUUUCCAGAGACAGCCCGUACAUAGAAGGAAUGUUUACUGAAAAAAAUGAAGAGGGGUCAGGGCAAGGCGAGGAGCAAGAAGCACCCCCAAGGAAACAGAGAAGACCAGUACAACUGUACCUCUUUGCCAGCUGCACCAUCCGUACCAGUCUCCUGGGGUGGAAGUGUCCAGCACAGAGACUGCCACACUGCAAGACGAAGGGGCUGGACACACGGAAGAGAGAGGCGGAACCCUGCACCCCCUCAACCUCAGCCCUACUGAGUCUCCAAUGGGGCCACGCUUCUGAGUGCACCUCCCCGUGUCAUCUGUAAUGUGAGGGGGAACCAGGCUUGAUAUGGCAUUCCCAAUCCAGGGC